UACGUAGGUGGCAAGCGUUAUCCGGAAUUAUUGGGCGUAAAGCGCGCGCAGGUGGUUUCUUAAGUCUGAUGUGAAAGCCCACGGCUCAACCGUGGAGGGUCAUUGGAAACUGGGAGACUUGAGUGCAGAAGAGGAAAGUGGAAUUCCAUGUGUAGCGGUGAAAUGCGUAGAGAUAUGGAGGAACACCAGUGGCGAAGGCGACUUUCUGGUCUGUAACUGACACUGAGGCGCGAAAGCGUGGGGAGCAAACAGGAUUAGAUACCCUGGUAGUCCACGCCGUAAACGAUGAGUGCUAAGUGUUAGAGGGUUUCCGCCCUUUAGUGCUGAAGUUAACGCAUUAAGCACUCCGCCUGGGGAGUACGGCCGCAAGGCUGAA
RNAcentral lists this ribosomal RNA (376 nucleotides) under uncultured bacterium. RNAcentral describes it as "bacterial SSU rRNA". It matches the Rfam family "Bacterial small subunit ribosomal RNA", at positions 524 to 898 of the family's 1533-position model. The record is from RNAcentral.